This is a long non-coding RNA of Strigops habroptila (Kakapo), 7777 nucleotides long. RefSeq lists it as uncharacterized. The transcript is spliced from 2 exons. NCBI's taxonomy places the organism in Eukaryota, Metazoa, Chordata, Aves, Psittaciformes, Psittacidae. The record is from RefSeq and is a predicted model, not a curated record.
CCCAUUCCUCAAACCCCUGCCAGUGCAGGAUUAUUCCUCAGAGUACACUCUCCACUGUCCUGUCCAAGCUUGACUGCAUAUGACUCAAGCAAUGGGUUUCCACUGCUUGGGAGAUAUUUCUGCAGUCUGAUAGACCUCAUUAUUAGGAAAUUUUGCUAAACGUUCCUUCAUUCAGGUUUAACCCACUAUUUUUACCAACAUGUUACUGAGUCAUGAUAACCAGCACACCUUUCUUGCUAGUUUUCCAGUCUUCAGUUAUUUGCAGAUGACCAGAGCACCCUCUCUUUCCUCCUAGUCUUCACUGAUCUUAGGUAGCAUAUCAGUAUUAAACUCCUUUCUGGUUUUCAUUGUUUUUUUACAGGACAGUUUCUGCAGUCAUUUUUAUUGCUUUGCUAUGAAUUACAGCCAGUUUGUUGACUUUCUUUGAUAUCCUAGUUCUUCCCCAUCAUAUUUCUGUGCUAGUCUCAUUUCACCUGAAAGAGACUAGUAUCAGAUUUCAGCUACAGCAACAAGGAUUUCUGAUGAGCUUGGUCAACAAUCCUCUUUCUUGCUGAAGAGGGCUGUUAAGACAUCUAUAAUAUGUUCAGAAAGACUGAGACAGGCUGGCAUUUCACUUGUGAAAUGUUCUAUUUUGUUGCAGAAAUAAGGAUUAUUAUUAAAAAUGUCAUUUAAUAUUUUGCAUUUCACGAUUUUACAUUUCAAGUGCUUUUAAUUAUUUUCUGUUGCAGGAGACAUUAAAACUAUGAAUAAAAUGUUCUUUCUACCUGGAUCUAAAUGUUCCCCCCUCACAUAAUUAUCCGUUCAUGGAGUGCAGCCAAUCUCACCAGGGGACUCUUCCAGGGUCUUUGUCAGGUUUGGAGAGGUAGGAGGGGAAUGUAUUAAUUUGGCAAUAAUUUGUUUUUUCUCUGUUUUACAGUAUUCUUCAAUAGAAUACUCUCCAGUGACAUGACCAUGUUCCUCAAACGAUGGCUCAGCCGAGCUGUCUGUCCAAAGGUCUUUUGGAUGUAUCAGAAAUGAACCCCACCAGAUUCAGGAUUGAGCAGCCAAUUUAGCCAUGAGGAGCCAAGCAAAGGAGAAACAAUGGAAUGACAUAUCUUCACCAAAUGCAAAGAAGUAACACUUGAAUGAUGACAUUUAUGUGGAGAAUGCAAUCAGUACAGUUUCACUUAAUACUUGAAAACAUUGCCAUGUGAUGAGUACUAGCAAAGCUCAAGAGUCAUUGAGAAGGAAAACCUGCUUGGUUAUCAAAUUUAUGAACUAUGCUUUGUAGUCCAUAGAGACAAUGCUUUCCAUAUACUGUGCCUUCCUUUUGCUUCUGGCUGUUACUUGUCCUUUCAUAAGUGUUAAGACCCCAUUAACCUCAUGUAUAUUUCUUCCUUAUGAGCUCCUGCAAAGGGGAACAGCAUGAUCAUGAAUAGGAGAUGACCUGAUAAUAGGGUCCUCAGAAUUUGUCCUGUUACUGAAAUAUGAGACACAGUCUGAAAAACAUCAAUAGGUUAUUUUUUAGUCCUUUCUCUCACAACAAAUAUUUGUCAUGUUUAAUAAAUUUCUGUGUAUAUGCUUAUUCUUAAAUGUUUCCUCCACGGGAGGUUCCAACAGUUUCCUUGAAAGAUUUUUCUAUAAUGCAGUGAACUUCAGGUGCUCAUUCUUAAUUUUACCCCAUUCCAAUUUACAAGUUCCUUUUGAAGUCCGCAUUACUUCCCUUUCUCCUUCGUGCAUCUCUUAUUAUUCAAAUAUCUGUUGUUGCUGCAUUUUAAUCCUUCUUGUACCCUAUUCUCAUUUCCUAACUUUGUGUUGGUUCAUGAUGUACAGGAGCACACAACUGGCUCUUUCAGUCUUGCUUCAUUAUUAAGCUUGAACAGAAAGUAGAGCAGCAUUUGUCCAGCCACAUACUUGUUCCACCUACAUUUAGACUGUACUUUUUCUAUAUUGAAGCACAGAUCUUACUUUCCAUUCUUACAAGUUUACAGUACCUUGCUACCCCUCAGCACUAAUUCUGACCCUGCAUCUGGACCUUUUUACUUGGUGAGGACCCUGUGGACCUCAGAUGGGGUUUCUGGAGGAAUGAGUAGUAGUUCCUAAGGAUACAGCUGCAGACUCAGAACCCCAGCUGUUAGGGGUUUGGAGCAAUGUCCUUGUCUAUUCUUUAACUGUAGUAUUAAACUCACAUGCAGUGCUUUAUCAGCAGGAAUAAAAUGUUGUGAAUCCUUAAUCAGAACUGCUAAUCACAGCUUUUAAAUAUGUUUAUACAGAAAUGCUAGGCCACUUUCCACUGUAAUUUAAAUCUCUUACAGCCUCACUAGCUUUAACAGAAAUAGGCGAGAGUAGGGUAAGAAUAAAACAGGUUGGGAUUUGUCUCCAGAGGAAAAAAAGGAAAUCCACCUCUGGCAUUUGAAGCUGCAAUAUAAAACACUUGUUCAGUUAAGACUGGCAAACUUACUGAAGAUUUACACUGUAAAAAUUACAAACAGGAAGAGAUGUUAGAAACAUAAGCAGUUUUUCACAGAUGUCAGUCUCAAAAAGCAGUAUCACUGACACAGCCUCUGAAAAAUGUGUCAAAAUGAAGAACAGGUGAAAAAAGAGCAUUCGUGGUUUGACAAAGUACUUAGGAAGAUUCACUGAGUCCAAAUUAUCAAAGCAAAUGUGCUGCAUCCUAGGUAAUUGUAUGACAUGAUUGUAAACAGUCCAUCUAUUUGGAUGGACUAUUGGCUUUUUGACUAAUCAAGUCAAAGAUGGAAGCAAUUUCUAUUGCUGCUUAUUAUUAUGAUACAGAUGAUUUCCAUAGACGCUAAAGACCCAGAGCUGAUCCUAUUCUUGUUAGGCAAUCUACAAACUUUUAGAAAGAUGCUCAAAUGAUAAGCCUCACCAAUUGCGUAUAAUUGCCGGAAAGGAAAAAAUAUGUCCCUGAACUAUUUGCAAUCAUGUCAUAUGAUUAUCGAGGCUGCAGUACAUUUGCUUUGGUAAUCUGGAGUCAGUGCAUUUUCCUAAGUCUACUGUUUACUGGAGUAGAAUUCCAUGUUUCCUUAAUGUUUGCCACUUCCAUUAACUUCAAUGACAGAAGGCACACUAACCCUUUUCUCAUGGAUUUACACGGAUUGGUAGCUCUCUUUUCACCUCUCGUAGGUAAGCAGAAUUGGACAAUUACCAACUCCAAUGUCAUACAGUAUGUUACCAUCUAUGAUCCUUAUUCUCCUUAUAAAUUGUUCUGAAUUAUCCUGCACUCUCCUCUGGCUAGAUUUUGAAAAGAGGUCCCAUAAAAGCAGCAAGGUACUGGAAAAGUUAACUCCCAGAAACUUUAAAACAAAUGAUUGGAGUGUUAUUAACUUGUGAAGAUAUGUAGGAAUUCUACAAGGAAAUUUUUCUGGUAUCUAUAUCCUUGUGAACAUGUUAUUUUAAGGGAGUUAUGAAUGACAAGGAGUCACAGUAUUUGCUCUAUUCAAGGAAAAAUGUUAGUAGUUUGACUUUAGUCUUGUCUCUAGUUUCUUAUGCAAGGAAGCAUAGUUUUACCUAAUGGUUGCAGUUUCUUAAAUUAUUUUUCUCAUGUAAUUGAGAACUUCUCUUUUUUGUCCCACUGCUAUGUUUGGAUUACUGUUUCUGGCACAAUUCCUUAUAGCCCAAUUCAGCCUUCAGCUAUACAGGCACAGAUCCCAGUGAAGUCAGUGGAAGCUGCACUUGGAUAUUUGAGAAAGGGUUUGGGGCCUUUAACCUUAGUGCGAACAAAUAAAUUGUAAAUUAUAUUUAAAUUAGAUUAGCAAAGAAUUAGCACUUCCCUGGUACAGUUCAUUCUAUUAGUUCCGUAUCAAUCUUUUUUUCUUUUUCAGGAAAUGUUUACAAGUGAAGUCACAAAUCAUAUCUGAUUAGCUGAAUUAUAUAUAUGAAAGAUAACUGGCUUGGAAUUAGGUAGAAGAGACUGAAAGUGCCUUUAGGAAUUCAAUGAAAUCUAUUCUUUUGUAUGUAAAGAGCAACUUAGCUUUAAAAUUUGUGGUACAUAUAUAAAACAAACAAAAUUUUCAAAGACCCCUUUGUUUAGCAUAGGUUUUUAAAUAUAGUAUAAGUUAUUUCUUCUUCUACUUAUAAAAAAUGUAAAUUAUUCAUGUUACCUGCAGUUAGCGACCUGUAGAUGGACCUUCACAAACCACAGAUGGCCUUCUACAGCACAAAUAAUAACAGUCCAUUACUAGGCUCUGUGCACAGUGUCUGAAUCUUUCAAGGCUGUAAUUACAGGCAAUGUUACAUUUAAUUUGGCGCUAGCAAAUGAUUUGUUGGUAAACAUGACAUUUUGAUCAGUCUGAGAAAAAUCCUUACACUGGAGCUUUCUGAUACUAGACAAUCAAAAGCCCUAUAAAUGAACUUUGUAUGCUUUGGGUCUGAUUCUUAGAGAAAUUCUGUGACCCUCACCUCCGAUGUGUAUGAUCUAUUUUAAGUUACUGUCAUUAGAUUCUUCUCCUGUUUUUCAUUACACACAAUAUUAAUACAUUCCCAGAGGUUCAAAUAAUUUUUCCCUACAUGCUACUUAACUCCUUUAAAGAUGUUUCUCUUUUAUCAAUCACUUACAUUCUUCAAUUUUUUCUAUUAGUUCCUAAGAAAGUAAAUAAAAUCCCUCCUAUGUUUACUUUGUCUUUGGGGCAAAAGGAAGUUUGGUUGUUUUCUUUUCUUUGUCUUUAUGUGAAAAAAACUCCAGAGAGAGAUGAAAUUGUCAAUACUACGACCUUUGUUGGGCUGACUAGAGGCUUCUGGAGGAGGGAAAAUAUUACAAAACUUAGAUCUGACUGGUCGUGUUGCAGCCGCAUUCAGAGAAAAUACUGAUAUUUUAAUUUACUGUCAAAAAAUUAAAUUUGGUCAUUUAAAUUGGAAAUUGGGUACUGUAACUUAAUUAUUUUACUCUUGCAACUAUUUCUUGUAUUCAUAUUUCAAGCAUUUAACAUGAUGUGGACCCCCUUCACACUGCCUCAGGUGGCAGCUAUGUUCAAGGUUACAAGAUGUGUGUAGGGCCAUGUUCACGUCCCUGUCUCCUCAGUUUCCAGUACUACUGUAUCAAAAUUUGUUAGCAUAUAAGCAUUCCUCUCCCCCUCAUCUCCCUCUUCAUUCCAAAGCUUUAGCCUCAACUUUAAACAGCUCAUCCUUUCACUUUCCAACACAGAGCAUGUAAUAUAAACACAUGUAGUUAUGUCAUAUUAUUUGGGGGAACUCAUUAUAAUAUGUUAAUAGAAUGGUUGUAAUGAUUCCUACAUGGGUUGUAAAGAUAUUGUCAGUUUGCUCUUUAUACUUUUUGAGAGCUCUGUAGGAAACACAAUCUCAGAUUUUUAAUCAUCUGUGGUAUUUUGAGAUAUGACAGGUAACAGGAGGCAUCCUCACUUCCAGAUGCUAAAGUACUUAUAACUUUUUCAAGUUGCUGCAGUUUCAUUUUAAGCAUUCAGUGAAUCACAUUUGGAAAAAAUCAUAAUUUGGAGAGGAAUUGACCUGCAAGCUAGUCCUUCUGAUUAACAUGGAACAGCAUAAUAAAGCUUGCAUUAUACAUGUUAAAUGCCAAGUAUUAUUAUUCUGUAGCCCACUUUGCUUCUGCUACAGCAAUGAAUCAACUCUAUAGUAUGCAACACCAUCUUCAAACAGUAGUGUGAUAACUCUAAAAAGUAUUAUCAUUGUUGACCUUUUCAGUUAUACCACCUUUCCUACCACCCUUGAAUGUGCAAGUCUGUAAGUUGUUAUUUACCAGCUCACCCAGAGUAACAUUCCUGGACUGCUGCCCAGUUUGGCAAUUAUGAGUCUUAUUAUAAUUUGAAGAUAUCUUGUUUUAAAUGGAAAAUUAAAAAAAAAAAAAAAAACAAACAACAAAAACACCUUAAAAUAUGAAAGCAUUAUAUUCACUUAGAAGACCGCUGGCCUAUAUCUUCUCAUGUAAUUACUAGAGGAUACUUGCUAUAGGAAAGCUUAACCAGAACUUGACCUACCUGCUUGCCUCCUGUUGAUAUCCAGUUCAGUACUAUGUAGUAUUGAUUUUUUUUUUUUAAUCUGGUUAAGAGAUAUAUGUAGAUGCACUUCCUGCCUCUUUCCCUUUGGCUGAGGUUUUUCUUGUCUGUGGGCUGCCUAAAUUGACAUAGACCACAUGGAAAAUGUACGUAGCAUUAAUUUCCUUAAACUGGAGACUGACAGGCACAACUGAAAAGAAUGAAAUAUAUGCAUCCAUCAUAAGCUAGUAUGAGAGAAUUCUUCUCUCUUGUCUUCCCAUCUCCUCUGAAUAUUAAUAUGAUUUUUUCAAAUGGCCAGAAAAACAAUGCAGAAAGCAUAAGAAUCAAUUCACACAUCAAAACAAAAUGGCCAGGGUAUCUACAGGUUUUUGGGUUCUGGCAAAAGAUCCAAGAGUUUCUACAAGGUUCUGGGGUCUGAACGGAUGCCUGGAGGAUUUUGUACUAAUGUGUUUGGAAAAGACUCAAGUCACAUAGGUGGCCCAAUGAAUGUGAGCCAUAUUCAGGGAAUUAUAAAUCCUAGUGCUCAGUCUCAGUUGGUUUCUUUUAUCCUGUGUGCUUUCAGGGAUCUAAUAAAUGCUGAAGAUAUUGACUGCUGCUUUAGAAGUGUCUCAGUCUGUCAUAAAAACAAGUCAGCUGAAUGCAGGCUGUGAAUGUAUGCAUUUUUGGCAUAUACUUGCUAACUUUUUUAUUUGGGUAUUAAUUAGAAUCAAAGCACAGCUAAUGUCAAGGAAUUGUCACUAGUAGGGUGACUGUCCUUAUCAAAAGUCAUCUGUGUAGCUCAUAUACCAUUUGGUCAUAAGAGACACAAAGGAGUGGCUUGUAGAUGUUAUCCUUACUGAUGGGAUGCCAAGGUAUGUAAAAAAAAAUUAUGGUAGCUCUCUGGAUCCUUAGUAUUAGAUGUCAAAAACCACAGGCAAUUCAAACAGCCCUCUGAGAGCAAGGGAUUUUAACUUUUUUUUCUUAGGAUAUCUAUUACAUUUUGGGUUUGUGCAAGCUGUAUAGGUACCCAAGGAACUAUAAAUGUAGCCAAAUGCCUAGUAAGUCAAAAUUAUCAUGUGAGUGCUGUCACAAUUCACUUUUAUUGGUUGUAUAAAGUGCAGGUGGUGACUUAUUCCACCACUGGAAAUUCUUGGUUAAGAUCUCAAAAUUUAGAGCUAUGUCUUUCUAAAGCCAUCAGCAUUUGACCCAAGCCCAUUCCUGUUAAGCUAAGUCGGAGUGGCAGAACUAAGCUACUUCCUUGGAUAUCCUUAAGUCGGGACCCCAAGGUCUGCUUAAACAUCCAGAUGGCUCAUUUGCAAAAGUGAUGAGCGCCAACAGCCUUCUGUGGCAAGCUUUGGCCGCCGGCUCAGGUAACAGUGCUUUGUAUUAGAAAUUAUCAGCUGAGCAGAAGUCAGCACCGGCCACUGACAAUGCUGCCUUCCAGCCACAGGAAGGGCCACAGGGCCACGCAGCUGCCUGGCCAAAACUGCAGCUGCUGAAACACUGUAGAUCCUUGAUCUUGGACGGAUGGAGCUGCUCUGGCAUUUGUUGAGGAGCUGAGCCUGCUGGAAGGUGAAACUGUAAUACAAAGGAACUGGUAGUUACAAAAAAAAGAUUACUACCAGAUCACCUAUUGAUGAAAGACUGUUGCAGGGAUACCGGCAGCUUUUGGAAAGCGUUCCCAGUUGUGUUUUUAAUAACAUUGGCCUACAGAAUGAGAAUGUAUACUCUGCUGAGUUGUAAUAACACUUCGGAAUGUACUAGCCCACAAACUGAGCAUCGUAAAACUGUUGUUUUCACAUUUUCCUAAUAAAAUGCCAUGGCCUUGUAAA